UACCAGCACCCCGAGUGGUCGGGACGAUUAUUGGGCCUAAAGCAUCCGUAGGCGGCUUUGCAAGUCGGAUGUGAAAUCCCUCGGCUCAACCAAGGAAGUGCAUCCGAAACUGCAGAGCUUGAGUACCAAAGAGGAUCGCGGAAUUCCCGGUGUAGAGGUGAAAUUCGUAGAUAUCGGGAGGAACACCAGUGGCGAAGGCGGCGAUCUGGGUGGAUACUGACGCUGAGGUGCGAAAGCGUGGGGAGCAAACAGG
This 253-nucleotide ribosomal RNA is filed under the name uncultured bacterium. RNAcentral describes it as "partial 16S ribosomal RNA". The stretch from base 27 to 253 matches the Rfam family "Bacterial small subunit ribosomal RNA", at positions 550 to 776 of the family's 1533-position model. The record is from RNAcentral.